GGCUAGAAUAAUGCUCAGGUUUUGGUUAUUGUCUAAGUGUGAUAGAGUCUCCCAAGAGUAACUGCUGGACUUACUCGCUGGUGGUGGCCCUCAUGGCACGGUCGGUCACCAGGUUAGUGACAUGG
This is a small nucleolar RNA of Nycticebus coucang (slow loris), 125 nucleotides long. RefSeq annotates it as small nucleolar RNA SNORA3/SNORA45 family. The transcript has a single exon. The record is from RefSeq and is a predicted model, not a curated record. NCBI's taxonomy places the organism in Eukaryota, Metazoa, Chordata, Mammalia, Primates, Lorisidae.